Molecule: RNA transcript, 2045 nt
Organism: Dama dama (fallow deer)
Lineage: Eukaryota; Metazoa; Chordata; Mammalia; Artiodactyla; Cervidae
Gene: GCDH
Gene name: glutaryl-CoA dehydrogenase
Exons: 12
Source: RefSeq, a predicted model, not a curated record
CAAAAGUCUCGUUCUACGGCACUGUGGCCUGUGCAGUGAACCCAGAGGCUCCAAGUGAGGUUUCGCAAGAGGGGCAGAGGGUGCAAAAGGCCAGGGCACUUGGUGGGAGCCGCUCUGCUCAGACGCCUCCAAAUCCCCAGGUCGGCUGUGAUUGUUCUGCUUGCCCGCUCGCUGCCCACAUGGCCCUGAGAGGCGUCUACGCGCGGCUACUGUACCGCGGACCUGGCCUACGAGUCUAUCGUUCUUGGAGCUCGGCGACAGCGCAGACCGAGAAAGGCGAGAAGACCCAGAGUCGAUCGGCCAAGCCUUCGCGGCCUGAGUUUGACUGGAGGGACCCACUGUUGCUGGAGGAGCAGCUGACAGCAGAUGAGAUCCUCAUCAGGGACACCUUCCGCACCUACUGCCAGGAGCGCCUCAUGCCCCGCAUCCUGCUGGCCAAUCGCAACGAAGUUUUUCACCGGGAAAUCAUCUCAGAGAUGGGGGAGCUCGGUAUGCUGGGCCCCACCAUCCAAGGGUAUAGCUGUGCUGGAGUCUCAUCAGUGGCCUAUGGGCUCUUGGCCCGAGAGCUGGAGCGAGUGGACAGCGGCUACAGGUCAGCAAUGAGUGUCCAGUCUUCCCUUGUCAUGCACCCUAUCUACGCGUAUGGCAGCGAGGAGCAGAAGCAGAAAUACCUGCCCCGGCUGGCUAAGGGGGAGCUUCUGGGCUGCUUUGGGCUCACGGAGCCCAACCACGGGAGUGACCCUAGCGGCAUGGAGACCAGAGCCCGCCACAACCCAUUCAACAGGAGCUACACCCUCAAUGGGUCCAAGACCUGGAUCACCAACUCACCUGUGGCCGACUUGCUGAUAGUAUGGGCUCGGUGUGAGGAUCACUGCAUUCGGGGCUUCCUGCUGGAGAAGGGGAUGCGGGGCCUCUCAACCCCCAGGAUUGAGGGCAAGUUCUCUCUGCGGGCAUCAUCCACAGGGAUGAUUAUUAUGGAUGACGUGGAAGUGCCAGAGGAGAAUGUGCUGCCUGGGGCGUCUGGUCUGGCGGGCCCCUUCGGCUGCCUAAACAAUGCCCGCUAUGGCAUCACGUGGGGUGUGCUUGGAGCUGCUGAGUUCUGUUUGCACACGGCUCGGCAGUACACUCUGGACAGGAUCCAGUUUGGUGUCCCACUAGCCAAGAAUCAACUGAUUCAGAAAAAGCUGGCGGACAUGCUCACCGAGAUCACAUUGGGCCUUCAUGCCUGCCUGCAGCUCGGCCGCUUGAAGGACCAAGACAAGGCCGCCCCGGAAAUGGUCUCUUUGCUGAAGAGGAAUAACUGUGGGAAGGCCCUGGACAUCGCUCGCCAGGCCCGAGACAUGCUGGGGGGGAAUGGGAUUUCUGAUGAGUAUCACGUGAUCCGGCAUGUCAUGAACCUGGAGUCUGUGAACACCUAUGAAGGCACUCAUGACAUCCACGCUCUGAUCCUCGGAAGGGCUAUCACAGGGAUCCAGGCAUUUGUGGCCGGCAAGUGAACCCACUUCACCUGGGAGCCCAGAUGGCACCAAACCCCUCUCCAGGGAGACACAGGGCUUGGAGCUUAGUUGGAGAGGUGGCAGAUGGAGCCAGUUCUUCUGGUGGGAAGUGAGAGACACUGAUUUUUAAAUAUCAAAAUUUCCCUUUUGAAGUCAUUCAAAUGUGUUCCUUAAAGAGAAGAUGGAACUUUCUGUACUGAGUGUCUCAAUCCAGUUUUGACCAUGGAUGGGCAGGGACUCCACCUGCCUUGGAACAGAAGCUCCUCGACAGGGGAGCAGGGACAGGAGAGGAGAGUGACUUGGAAGCAACUUGUGAGACCCACCAGUGUCUAAAUGAACUGCUCCAUCCACACGGAUUCCAUGUUCUGUGGGGCAACUAAGUCUGUGCACCCCAACUACUGAGCCUGGGCUCUAGAGCCCGUGCAACCUAGAGCUGAGCUCUGCAACAAGAGAAGCCACCAUAAUAAGAAGUCCUCGAACCACACCUAGAAAGUAGCCCUCCCUCUCCCCAAUUAGAGCAAGCCUAUGCACAGCAACGGAGACCCAGUG